CUCUCUGAGUUAAACUUCAUCGUGCGUGCCCGCGGAGUCCACACAGUACAUGGAGUAUUCGGUUCGUAAGUGUGACGCCACUUCAAUUUUAACCAUGCCCGUUGUCACGUAAGUUAUUCCUAUCAGACUUGCCUUUGAUAUGUUGUUCAAGGACAACUCUGUCCACUCAUGUGCAUCCCAAUAUACUGUAUACAUUUUCUUUUAUGUUUUUACAAAUCUUUCCCAGAUGAAAUUUGAAUUUCCUGUGUUUAUCUCUUCAUUGUUUUUUGUCCAAAUUUCUGCCUAGACCAUCCCAUCCUGAUCCAUUCAUGUCUUGCUUCCACUUGGUAUCAUGUGUGGCAAGAAAGAAUGCUUAAUCUGGAAUGGCAAGAAAAAAGGAGGAUGGGAUCCAUUCGUGUGCACUGAGUCAAGUGAUCGAGAUUCUUUGGGUGGUUGUUGUCGAAUAGCUGAGAAGAGCCAAUGAACUGAAGGCUGAUGAAAACAUGCUUCGAUGGAUAUGUAACACAUGCCGUGUAGGCAUCAAAGUGAAGUAUCAUGGACAUUCUUACAUGAUACAAUAGAUAUGGACAACUUUCCUAGCUGAGUUUUCUGCUAAUGUUCAGGAGUUAACAUGAAGUGAAUAAUCUGCGUCAAGACCUUGAAAUGACCAGACAAGCAGUAACGGACAUGUUAUGAAGUUGUCAGAUGUGCAUUGACAGGAAUGGUCGCCAUAUGGAGGACUUAGCACAUUAAACUGAGGAGAUGAGUUUGUCACCUAAUACUUCAGGAUAUGCCUUUGAGGAAGCAUCUUCAGUUAUUGAGCCACUUACACGUCAAUGUCAUCCACAGCAAGAAACCAACCACUCUGACAUCACUGCUGGCAACGUUUAUUUUGUGGCGGCCAAGACUUUGCUGUGGGCUAUUAUGUAGACGACUUGUAAAACUGUUUUAAACACUGUCUGAUGCUAUAUGGUGCAGCAGGAGAGUAACCUUUUAUUCUUAAUAGGUACAUGUAAUUCAGACUGGUUAUUGUUCUUUUUCUCCAUACAAAAUGUAACUGGUACACAUACUAACUUCUUAUGGAAAUAUGGGUGAAAUCCGUGUACCUGUAAUUCACAAUAUAAUUCCUGACAGUUUCCAACAAGCCCACUUUUGGCUUUGUAAACAUUGUUUGUUUAAUGUUAAAGGUUGCUUGAUUAGUUCUACUCAGAUGAAACUCAGGUGAAGUUCGUUCAUAGUAAUUUUAAUAAUGCAUGGUGUAUAAACAGUAACGUUACUUCACAAAAUAAUUCAAGUUGUUCAACUUGCCAAGAUGCAGUGGAGUUUCAUUUUACUUGCAAAGUUUUGGCAAUAAAAUUUACUUCUGGUCAACAGAUCUGAGUUUAUUGGCUUUUUCUCAAUUUUGCGAAAAAGGCAUU
Acanthaster planci (crown-of-thorns starfish) is the source of this 1397-nucleotide long non-coding RNA. The record is from RefSeq and is a predicted model, not a curated record. Lineage: Eukaryota; Metazoa; Echinodermata; Asteroidea; Valvatida; Acanthasteridae.